UUUAAUAGAAGCCAAAAUUAGAGGCGUUUCACUGUUAAUGAAUUAAUUGAAUGUUCCUAUUAAAU
This 65-nucleotide transfer RNA is filed under the name Rhipicephalus microplus (southern cattle tick). Its description in RNAcentral is "tRNA-Asn". RNAcentral also lists the same sequence under 1 other name. Lineage: Eukaryota; Metazoa; Arthropoda; Arachnida; Ixodida; Ixodidae. The record is from RNAcentral.